RNAcentral lists this long non-coding RNA (326 nucleotides) under Populus trichocarpa (black cottonwood). Its description in RNAcentral is "long non-coding RNA (PTRI_LNC000640)". Lineage: Eukaryota; Viridiplantae; Streptophyta; Magnoliopsida; Malpighiales; Salicaceae. The record is from RNAcentral.
CAUUGUCUCUUUGUACUCUAUUUUCUGACUUGGAACCAAAGCUCCUUGUCACUCUUUAUUCGGUCUCUUCUUGUAGAUGUGUGUGAUCGUUUCGACUAGCUAGGGAAACCUUGCUGAGAAAAGAUUUUAGGUUAAAAGGAGGAACCUGUGGACACUGAAGUCCACGCACCUAGUUCCAAUCUUUUAAGCCUGCUAGCUGCUUCAUAUUUUCGAGUUUCAAUUUUCAAAUCGGAAAAGAGAUGUGUCCUCUGCCACCGAUACCGAGAAAAAAAAUGAUAUGUUGCACUACUUAGAAGACUUUCAUAAAGUAGCGUAUCAACUAUCAG